RNAcentral lists this microRNA precursor (150 nucleotides) under Vombatus ursinus (common wombat). Its description in RNAcentral is "miRNA (ENSVURG00010003605.1)". The stretch from base 25 to 99 matches the Rfam family "mir-129 microRNA precursor family". From Rfam's summary of the family: The mature sequence is excised from the 5' arm of the hairpin. The record is from RNAcentral. Lineage: Eukaryota; Metazoa; Chordata; Mammalia; Diprotodontia; Vombatidae.
UCUUCUACCUGGCCUCUGCCUCCUUUGGAUCUUUUUGCGGUCUGGGCUUGCUGUUUGUCUAAUCAGUAGCCAGGAAGCCCUUACCCCAAAAAGUAUCUACAGGGGGCCCUGUCAACGGAGUGGCCCCCUGAGGGUUCCAGGUAAGCAACA